CAGCGCCGCGGUAAAACGGAGGGUGCAAGCGUUAAUCGGAAUUACUGGGCGUAAAGCGCACGCAGGCGGUCUGACAAGUCAGAUGUGAAAUCCCCGGGCUUAACCUGGGAACUGCAUUUGAAACUGUCAGGCUGGAGUCUUGUAGAGGGGGGUGGAAUUCCAGGUGUAGCGGUGAAAUGCGUAGAGAUCUGGAGGAAUACCGGUGGCGAAGGCGGCCCCCUGGACAAAGACUGACGCUCAGGUGCGAAAGCGUGGGGAGCAAACAGGAUUAGAUACCCCAGUAGUCCCUGUCUCUUAUACA
This 301-nucleotide ribosomal RNA is filed under the name uncultured bacterium. RNAcentral describes it as "partial 16S ribosomal RNA". It matches the Rfam family "Bacterial small subunit ribosomal RNA", at positions 509 to 808 of the family's 1533-position model. The record is from RNAcentral.